Molecule: transfer RNA, 73 nt
Filed under: Actinomycetes bacterium
Lineage: Bacteria; Bacillati; Actinomycetota; Actinomycetes
Description: Actinobacteria bacterium tRNA-Phe
Rfam family: tRNA
About the family: Transfer RNA (tRNA) molecules are approximately 80 nucleotides in length. Their secondary structure includes four short double-helical elements and three loops (D, anti-codon, and T loops). Further hydrogen bonds mediate the characteristic L-shaped molecular structure. tRNAs have two regions of fundamental functional importance: the anti-codon, which is responsible for specific mRNA codon recognition, and the 3' end, to which the tRNAs corresponding amino acid is attached (by aminoacyl-tRNA synthetases). tRNAs cope with the degeneracy of the genetic code in two manners: having more than one tRNA (with a specific anti-codon) for a particular amino acid; and 'wobble' base-pairing, i.e. permitting non-standard base-pairing at the 3rd anti-codon position.
Source: RNAcentral
GGGUCCGUAGCUGAGACAGCCCAAGCGCCUGGUUGAAGCCCAGGAGACGGUGGUGCGAGCCCACCCGGUCCCA